This is a long non-coding RNA of Myotis daubentonii (Daubenton's bat), 3340 nucleotides long. RefSeq lists it as uncharacterized. Lineage: Eukaryota; Metazoa; Chordata; Mammalia; Chiroptera; Vespertilionidae. The record is from RefSeq and is a predicted model, not a curated record.
GAUCCAGGGCCCAGACUAAGAGAAAGGGAGAUAGCGGUGUGUGGCGGUGGAGGAAUCAAGGUGAGAUGAGGUAAGUGGGGGAAAACCAGCCUUUAAAUGGAAGCCCGAGGAGUCUGGGCUCCAGGCCACCGCAAAGCUCUGACAGGAGGGAGCCAUGAAGAAGCAGGGAAGGUCGGGCCGCCCUGGGCUGCUGGAGAGGUGAGGGCUGGAGGCCAGGGAGCCCAUUUUCGCAACAUUGAUAGUAUCCGUUGGGCAGUGUCCCUCGGACCCCUGACCCCCGGCCUGCUGGGCGGGGGGCCCUGGGUUUCUGUCCUGCCCACCCCGAGGAGCUGGGGACCGACUGCUGGAGCCCCUUAAGGAGGCGGCGGGAAGAAGCCCCAUCAUUAGUCGGGCCCUGGGCAGACCAAAUCUGUGUCUCUUCUUGGACCCUUGUGACAGUUCGGUCACUCCAUCCCAGAUGACCAGGGACAGCGGACGUACGGACACGCAGCUGGUGCGCCCAGGGCCAGAUAAGGAUGCGGGGCUGCUCCCGCCCCCACUCCCUCCCGCGGCGCCGGGUCUGCACAAGUCCCGCGGGCUCGGGCUCCCAGCGCGGCCCGGCCCGCGUCCUCACUGCGGCUGGAGGACCUCGGCGGGUCUCUGCCCGAGUCGUGAGGGUGGGGGAAUCGGGAGCCUGGCCGACUUUGGACUCGUCCCUCAAACCCGCCUCCUCGCACACGCACACAUCGGCUAGUUCUGAGGGGGGCUCAUCAGCGUGACCCCGCGGACCCACCGAGCGGCGGCACCCGCGCCGAAUCCCCGCAGGGUCUGGCCGGAGCCCACUCUGCGCAUGCGCCUCCACUCGCGGCCGCGGCCCGGCCCAGGCCCCUCCAGGCCGCGCGCCUCCGAGUCACGCGCAGGCGCUCACGCAUGCGCAGGCUCGCGGCGGCGCUCCCUGCGCGCGGGCUCGGCGGAGUGGGGUGGGCGGUGCCUCAGCGCCCGGGCCGGGGCGGCGGGUUCCUGUCCCCCGGGGCCGGCCCGCGAGCUUCGCCCCCUCGGCUUUCACCCCCCCCGCCCCCCGCAGGGCGGAGGCGCCGCGAUGGCCGCUGCGCCGUGGGCUCGCCGCUCCCCUCCCUCCCGCUCGGUGCGCUGCUGGCUCCCGAACCCCCGCAGGGUGUCGGCAGUUUUGAUUUGGGCCGGGGCGGGCUCUGGACCUGCUCACGCUUGUGGUGUGAGGUCACGGAGUUCGGGAGGCAUUUGAGGAACGUGGAGAAUGCCGGAGACAGAUCGGGGCUGGUGGUUAUUCUGUUGUGGUUUUCUCCUGCGGCCAGCCCUCAGAUAAAGAAAUGGACUAGUCACACCACUUGAGAAUGGAGGUGUGAACAACAAAGCUGCCACCUGCGUCUCUGGGGAUCUUAUCUUGUGUAUAGUCAUUUCUUUGUGGAUGUCUGUGGAAUGAAUGAAUGAGGAACAGACACAAAUAGAAUUCAAUGUUAAAUUUCCCUGAAAAUCCUUAGCAGAGAGGUUCAAUUGUAGAGUCUGGAGGCUCUUUGCAGAGGAAAAUCUCCCUGUAAGGACAACGCGGUAUCACAAAGUUGCUUGGUGGGCAGUGGACUCAGAUGAUGUCAAAGGGAGCGUGCUCAGACGCAGGGGCCUGUGUGGGGGUGGCCAGCCCGAGGUAGAUGGCUCCAGCCCAGCUGAGUGCCAUCUCCAGCAAGCCCACUGCAGAAAAGCCUUGAUUCCAGACAUGCACCUGCUGCCUAGAGGGGAGUUUUCUAGACUGAAAAGUCAGUCUUUACCUCAAGUAUUAUCUUCCUCUCCCUGAACACAGGUAACUCACAGGAGUGGAUGUUUCUGACAACCCAAUCUUAUUACAUGGUAAAAGGUGAGAAAAGAAAACCAAGUCCAAAUAUGCACUUUAAGAAAUAUUAGGGAAUCUUCUUCAGGCAGAAGGAAAGUGAUACCAGAUGGAAACUUGGAUGUACACAUAGGAAUGAAGACCACUGGAAAAAGGAAACAGAAAAGAAUUUUUCUUAUUUAAAAAUUUUUUAAAAGGUAAUUGUUUAAAAGCAAAACAAACCUGGUACUGUGGAGUUUAUAACACAUCUAGAUGUAAAAAGUAGGACAGAAAUAGCAUGAAGAUUUGGAGAGGAGAAAACAAAAACCAGCAUUUCCUUGACUCUUUGGCAAGUUGAUUGGCUAUAUGACUGUGUUCUGGUCUGUGAGUUGAGCGGAAGUGGCACAUGCAAUUCUCCGGAGAUAGAAAGAUAGAAGGCAUGUCUUUUAUCUCUUCCUUCUUCCUGCCUGGAAUUCUGACUGGAGCUCCAGAAACUUGGACAAAAGAGUGACCUUUGGAUAGUGAACAAUGACUUUUCCUUCCUUGGAUAAUGAAAGAGCAACAAGAUCUAAGGAGCCCGGUUCCCCAACACCAUGGAUUGCCAGAUCAAACCUGGAUGGGGCCUUCUGGAUAUUUUUCAGUGAAAAAUAAUUUAUCUUGUUAAGUUACUGUUAUUUGGAGGUUUUCUUCAACCCAGAGCUGAAUGCAAUUCUAACUAAUAUGGUUAACUAUUUAAAAGAGUAAUGAAUGCAAUUGGUAAAUCUGACAAGAUGAUCUAAAAAAAAAAAAAAAGAAGAGAAAGCUCUGGCCAGGUGGCUCAGUUGGUUAGGGUGUUGUCCCGAUACAACCAACCAACUGAGCCACACUGGCCAGGGCUGGCUCUGACAUUCUAAAAGACCUAGGUUGUGUCUUUUGCUCUGUUAUUGUUCUAUCUUGGCAUGGGAGAAAGAAAGUGUGCACAUGUAUAAUUUCAUAGCAACCAACCAUUAGGAAGGGCAGGCAUAACUUCUGUUCCAAGCAGGAAGCCUGUUAAUAAAGAAGAGAGAAGCCCCUGGAACGAAAUGAUUCCAUUUUGCUCCCAGGAAGCAAGCCCUGGCCAUUUUCUCAUUCACUGGCAGGUGAAGUCUGCUCAGGCUUACUAACCAAGGUUGGCUUUUAGAGCUUCUGGUGGGGCUGCCAUGCAUUUGGCACCAGGCUGUGAGCAGGGCUCCUGAGUGAAAACAGCUCCCCUGCCCGCCUUUCAGAGCCUUUGUCUGCACAGUGCUGUUCUUUCCAAGGGCCCCUGUCUCAGGAUCACCUGAGACUCAGAAAUUCACCAGGAAUCCCUUUGCAGCAUUGCGCAUUCCAGAUCCCUACGUAGAGAGGCCACACCCAGAUUCCACAUAAGAGCCGCAGCAGACCAGCUCUUUCUGUACAUGCUCUCCACCUUCCUGAGUGUUCCUGCCUCAUGGCUGAGCCAUGUGUCUGCGUGUGUGAGUGACAUCGUUGGUCCCAUAUGAGAGGUAAGAUUCUUCUUUCUUUUUU